AGAGAGAGAGAGAGAGAGAUAAGAAUGAAAGAAGGCUCACUGCUCACAGCUUUUGUUAAUGUGGUUUUUAACACUAGGCCAAAUUAUACAAAAAGAAUAUUUAAUCUGGUUUCCUGACCACAAAUCAUCCAGCAUAACAACAAUAAAAUUUUGAAUAUUAAUGUUCUCGAGUAAUAGCACCAUGCGGACAUAGGUAAAAAUAAAGACAAAUAAAUUACGCGCAGGGUAAGUGUUGUCAGAUAAUG
This 245-nucleotide unclassified non-coding RNA is filed under the name Hevea brasiliensis (rubber tree). Lineage: Eukaryota; Viridiplantae; Streptophyta; Magnoliopsida; Malpighiales; Euphorbiaceae. The record is from RNAcentral.